UACGGGUAUAGUAGGCGGACGGGUGAGUAACGCGUAGGGAAUACUAGCCCUACAGGAGGGGGAUAACGGUAUAGGAAACGGCCGCUAAUACCCCAUAUAGCCGAGAGGUGAAAUAGAAUAUAUCGCCUGAGGAUGAGCCCGCGUCUGAUUAGCUAGCUGGUGAGGUAAUGGCUCACCAAGGCAUCGAUCAGUAGCUGGUCUGAGAGGAUGAUCAGCCACACUGGGACUGAGACACGGCCCAGACUCCUACGGGAGGCAGCAGUGGGGAAUUUUCCGCAAUGGGCGCAAGCCUGACGGAGCAACGCCGCGUGAGGGAUGAAGGCCUCUGGGCUGUAAACCUCUUUUCUCAAGGAAGAAGAUCUGACGGUACUUGAGGAAUAAGCCACGGCUAAUUCCGUGCCAGCAGCCGCGGUAAUACGGGAGUGGCAAGCGUUAUCCGGAAUUAUUGGGCGUAAAGCGUCCGCAGGCGG
Molecule: ribosomal RNA, 470 nt
Filed under: uncultured marine bacterium
Lineage: Bacteria
Description: bacterial SSU rRNA
Rfam family: Bacterial small subunit ribosomal RNA
Source: RNAcentral